UAUAGAAAGAAGAAACAAUAAGAUACACUUGCGUCUUGUACGGUCGGGUGUUCUUUUUAUUAUCGCAUGAAAGAAUCGUAUAUCGCCAAAGAGUCUCUUCAAAGUCCUCCGAACCUGCGAACCUGUUGCCAACUUGAAAUGCAUAUACACACACAUGUACGAUGCAACUAAACGGUAUACAUGGAUGACGCAAACAAAGAUAAAACGUAAUUAUUCUCAAAUUGCGGCAAUGAAAAAAACACCCCAUUACUUCCUAUGUGAUAACAGGUGGUCUUACAGUAAUGUACAGUACGUUGUUUCUGUAUUUACAUUCGAGUAGAAUUAGUUUUGUCUUAAAAAUGAUUAAUGAGGGAUUAGUUGUGACAGCAAACACCAACAAGCUACACCGAGUACUCUAUAACUAAACGAGGAAAUGCAUAUACAGAAGAAGACCCAGUGUUGAAACACUAAAUCUUAAUGGAUGAAAAAGUCACAUCUCCGUACCAUGAUGCUGCUAAAACCACCCCGUCUACGUUAGUGUUAUUAUCCUUGCAAGGGAAUUCACUUCGUAAACGUGUGGAAGGUAGGGUUGCACGAUACUGAAUACCUUUUUUCCCAUUGUAAGUUGUCAACUAUCGAAGCAUCACAGAACUCAGUUAAUGAAGCUGAUGUUAAAAACAAUAGUGAUGAAGAUGUGGCGGGAAAUGAAA
Ooceraea biroi (clonal raider ant) is the source of this 689-nucleotide long non-coding RNA. RefSeq lists it as uncharacterized. NCBI's taxonomy places the organism in Eukaryota, Metazoa, Arthropoda, Insecta, Hymenoptera, Formicidae. The record is from RefSeq and is a predicted model, not a curated record.